RNAcentral lists this transfer RNA (77 nucleotides) under Marinomonas arenicola. Its description in RNAcentral is "tRNA-Met". It matches the Rfam family "tRNA". Rfam says of the family: Transfer RNA (tRNA) molecules are approximately 80 nucleotides in length. Their secondary structure includes four short double-helical elements and three loops (D, anti-codon, and T loops). Lineage: Bacteria; Pseudomonadati; Pseudomonadota; Gammaproteobacteria; Oceanospirillales; Oceanospirillaceae. The record is from RNAcentral. RNAcentral also lists the same sequence under 4 other names.
CGCGGGAUGGAGCAGUUUGGUAGCUCGUCGGGCUCAUAACCCGAAGGUCGUUGGUUCGAAUCCAGCUCCCGCAACCA